CAGACCACCCGCCGCCCGGGACCCCCCCCGGGACUCCCCCGGCACCCCCCGGGACCUCCGGGCCCGCGGACAGGGCUAGGGGCCCCUGCGGGCGCCCCCCCGGGAUAGGGCUACAGCCCCCGCGCGACUCGGUGGCCGUGGCGCGCGCGGGACUCGCUUAUCCGGGAACCGCUCGGGAUUGAAUAAAGCAACGCGAUUGGAGGCCGCUCCGGAGCGGGAGAGGAUUCCCCCACCCCUGAACCGUUUUCGCGGGUCGGGGCAAGUGGUUUUGCAAAUGAGAUUUGCCACAGACAUUUGCCCUGCAAGUGGCAAAAUGCCAGGAAUGAAGAGAAAGAAAUGUUAGGAUCCGAGAAAUAAAUGAUUCACCUGGGAA
Molecule: long non-coding RNA, 373 nt
Organism: Ailuropoda melanoleuca (giant panda)
Lineage: Eukaryota; Metazoa; Chordata; Mammalia; Carnivora; Ursidae
Exons: 2
Source: RefSeq, a predicted model, not a curated record